AUUGAGGACAUUAAUUCUUAUUUUUUUUAAUUCUUUAUUCUGCAAAGAAGGGUGACCUUCAUCAUCACUAAACAACACUGCAAAACUAUGUCAGCACCCAGAGCCAAGAUCUGGAAUUCCUGCAAUUCUCAGGAAGGGCGUUUUGUUAUUGCUGCAGGAGACAACUGAGGCAGGGCAGGCGAGACUGCGGUGGCUGAGAAAGGCAUCCACGGCAUUGCAUAACUCUGGACAGUGAUGUAUCUCCUGGUCAGCAGUGCAGUUUCCCCAGACCAGAAAAAUGCUACUGCCAGUGGUCCUUAGUGGACGCCCAUGUCCAACCCAGCUCUCCCCUAAUGACAAAUAUAAACUGUGAGCUUCCUGUGGCCAAAAACAAA
RNAcentral lists this long non-coding RNA (374 nucleotides) under Ictidomys tridecemlineatus (thirteen-lined ground squirrel). Its description in RNAcentral is "lncRNA (ENSSTOG00000034432.1)". The record is from RNAcentral. Lineage: Eukaryota; Metazoa; Chordata; Mammalia; Rodentia; Sciuridae.